UUCCAUGCCUCCUCUGUGGAGACAGCAUAGCAUGGUAGUUAAGAGUCUGGGCUUCCAGGGUUCAAAUCCUGGUCCUGCUGCCUUCUAGCUGCUGUCUUGGGCAAGUAUAUUUAAUCUUUCUGUGCCUCAGUUGCCUUAUCCGGACAAGUGGGCUAAUAGUAUCUACCCUCACAGUAUUGUUGUGACAAAUAAAUGAUUUACUACUUGGACAGUGCCUGGAAAAAUGCCUGGCAAGUAUUAGCCAUUACAAAGGUCAAUGUAAUUAUGCUGCUUUAUAGGUAAGGUGACUGAUGGCAACUCGCCAGGCACAAUCAGAGGCCGAGAAGGGGUUGGACCUCUUGUUGGUGCUGUGCCCACAAUAUUUCACAGCCUUGUUUUUAAAAGAUAAGUUGUCUUCAUGAUCACUCCUCUUUUCUAAGCAUAGCGUGGGAUUUCAAAUGAUAAAAUUUCAGCAGGCUGCCUUCUCAGGAGAUACCAAGAAACAUGAGCUGUUAGACUUGGGUUACAGUAAAUCACCUUCCAUUAAGUUCUGGUUUUCGUUGGUCAGACAGCUGGUCCAUUUGCUAAAAAUAAAUAUGUUUGCCUUUCUAUUUGACCUGUAAAUGACAGGAUCGUCUAUGGACAAGCUCUCCAAAGAGUGCCUCUGGCUUAAUUAGUAAAAAUAAUUUUGGACUUGAGGUCCAGGGUCUUGGUCCUAGGAUCUACUGGAUCCAUUACAAGCUUCUAAACCUCAACUGAGCAUGGCUCCUGGUGACAGGACAAGUGCCUGAUGCUCUGGUAUAUAAAAUAGGAAAAAUAAGAACGUCUCUGCUUUAGAGUUGAGGUUAGAAGUGUGAAGUGCUUUGGGGACCCACAGGAGAGAUGCUAGAUUGGUUCCAAGUAGUCUAUCAUGCUUAAAGAAUUGUCUUUCCAUUACCAAAGGGAAAAGAGAAGUUGGAGUUUAGACAGGAUUUUAAAAGUCAGCUAAAGGCUCCAACAUUACACCUGUGGUGAACAACCACAGGUAGUGUUGCAUUCUUUACCUGGCAUUUUUCGGGAUGAUAUAGGAGCAUUUAAAAAAUAGAUAAGUCAAUGAAUGCACUUGGGGGGACUGCCGCUCCUGUCAGCUGAAAGAUCAGCUAUCUACCGUCUUAUAAAACGCCCCGAAAAUCCUCUAAACCUUAGAGCUGGGGAAUUUUUUAAAAAAUCGGAACCACAUCUCCCUGGCUCCGUGCAGUGUGAGUUCUGCAGCUCGGGGGACGCUGCAGUGUGAUGUGGUGGAGAGAGCAAGCUUCACGGCUCCUGCCAUCCUGACAGCGCCCUCCCUCCCGGCCUCAGCCUCCUGGUUCGCCAAACGGAGGACUGAAUUUAUGGCUAGCUGGUCUCUGGGGAGCCUUCCAGCUCUGACAUUCCCGCCUAGAAUAGAUCUUCCCGAAGGUUUCGCAGACAGACCAGAGGGGACAGAGCCGGGAAGGCGAAACAGGGACAGGCGAGAGACGCUGCUCCCAACUCGCAGAGGGAGAAAGCGUGUAUCCCGGGCUGCCGGGGAGAGUGGAAAGAAUGUGAUUUCCGUGACAACAAUGACCUUUCUGCAUUGUCUACUCCUGUGAUCCAGCACAGUGCCUGGCUCUUGUGGAAUUCCAGAAUCCCACAUGUUUGCCUCUGCCUCUGCCUGAGAGCUCCAGCUACUGCCUGGGUUAUGUAAACUAAAGACAUAUGGCUGAGAUGGUAAUUCUCACAUAGAUCUUUUUCUCCUGGUGAGUAACAAACUUCAAAUUACCACCCACAGUAAGUGUUAUUUUUCUUCUAUUUGCUGUUCUAAACCUUUUCCUUGCCACAGGUUUUGGGAACUCUUUUCUUCAUUGUCUCAAAUCAAGAGAAUUAGGAGGGAGAAUGGGGUCAUGAGAUGUUCCUUCACAAGACAGGAACAAUGCCUGGGGGCGGGAAAGUGGCUCAGUAAGUGUUUACUGUGACUGGACAAAUGGUGGAAUGGAAAGAGUGUGGGCUUCUCAAUCCUGCAGACUUGCAUGAAGUCCCACUACUUCUGCUUACCACCAAUUUGAUCAAGGGUAACUUAUAUAACUUCUCUCUGUUUCCUCAUCUGUAAUAUGGGACCGAUGAGAAUUAUCUCACAAGUUCAUUGUCAAGACUAGAGAUAAGAUAUGUAAAGCACUUAGCAUAAUACCCAGAACAUAGUAGGUGCUCCACAAAUGGGUAGCUACUGCUAAUAGUUACAAGAAGCAGCUGGAUUUUCCUAUCCUUGGUCAUCUUUGUGGAACCCAUGCAAAAUAGUUAAACCCAAAACCUCCAGGUGCCACAGCAAACAGGGCAUUGGUAGAGCCACAUAUAAUGCAGGGAUGUCUGGAUAGUGGGGCGGCUAUUCUCUUCCUACCAAAAGCUAGAGGUUGUUGAAGUGCAGGAAGUUGAUUUAUGGAUAGGGAGUAUGUGGACCCGAGAAAUGAUGCAAAGAGAGAAAAGCCAUUCCUUGGGGAACAUAAAACUACCACGGACAUUUCAGUCAAUUCACAGUGAAGACUCUAAGCCUCCCAAGGGCCCAAAUCUGACCUGUACAGAAACAAAUGAGGAAGAGGGAGUAGCCAGAGGAUAGAGGUGAGCUUGCUGAGAAUUCUGCCCCCAAGUUUGGAGCUUGCAAACAGAGAGGCCGAGAAUUCUGCAGAUGCUGUGGCAGUUUGAACUCCUGGAGAGCCCUUCCUGGCCCAGCCUAGCUGGGACGUCGAACACUGUGGGAAGCAGAAGAGGAUCAGCCGAUGGCAGAGAACCUGGACAAAGAAAAGGAUGCCAACCAACUGAGGAUAGAGACGUUUCCCUUGGCUCCUCCCGGCAAAGGAUUUUUCAGGUUUCCUGAGCACCAAGGAAGACUCACAAGGCUCUGGAUGACCUAGAAAAAUCUCACCUGUCCUCUCCAUGUCUCAGCUCCUCAUCUGUAUAAGGAAAAAAGUUGAGCCAGUUGAUGAACCACAGGAAAACCCUAUCUCCUUCAUGGCCAUCUCUGAGGUUUCUGCAACCAGGCAAGCUGUGGCAAUUCUGUGGGUGAUAAUUUAGGGUCCCUUGUAGAAUGGCUUCUGAUGUGGCACAUUAUAUAAAUGGUGGUGCACACUCUUGCAUCUGGCUUUCACCUCUCUAGAGAGUCAGCUCCCAAACUAAUCUUCCUAGUGGGCUCUGAAUAACCUGCAAGAGGGUCCUGGGUUGAUCCUGUGAGGCUGACACUCCUGACUUUGUUCUCUGAAGGAGGGAAAUGGACUCUUCAUGGUGUAGCCAUUUAAUGCCCCUAUCUGUGCUAGAGCCAAAUCUCAGACUGAAGACAACUUAGUAUGGUGUCAGGGUUCAGAAAAAAGGCUUUGGGGACAAGCUGGACCUUAUUCAAACCUAGGGUGAUCAACUUUCUUAGUUUUGCCAUAAUUGUCCUGUUUUUAGCACUGCAAGUCCUAAAUCCCAGAAAAUCCCUAAGUCCUGGGCAAACCCGGAAGCUUGAUCACCCUAUUCUAGCUCUUUCAGGCCUUAGCCAGUCAUUUUCCUUCUUCGAGCCUUAGUUUCCUCAUAUGUGAAAUGAGGGGAAUGAUAACAACAUCAAAUGGUAUGCAUUUGAAGGUUAAUAUGCAUUCAAAGAUUGUUCACCAAGAAAGUUAGAAGUUUACAUGACAAAGUGGUCUUUCUGUUUCUGUUCUGAGAAGGAGUAGAUGUCUCCUCUCCCCAGUGUGUUUUGACUGUUUCAAGUGGAGGUGUGAGGACAGCACUUGAGGAUUCUGGAAUACUCUUCAGGAAGCCUUGCAGGCCCUGGCAAAUGCAAAGCACAAAUUAAGGGUUCUCCCAGCUCUAUGAUUAUGUGGUUAAGUGUAAAUGGCAGAAGCAGCUACCUGCUUGCAGAAGUCACCUUUAGCAGCUACCACUUGCAAGUCACAAAUAAGACAUUAUGAAAUCUUUUCUUUUAGGCUUCUUUAUUGCCCCUUGGCUAUUGUCUGCAGAGAUUCUUAACUAAUAGCCAUGUUCGGAAUGACUGUUUUCCAGAAACCACUGUUUCAUGGCUGAAAAAUGAAAAGAAGUCAAUGUUUUCUAAGGACUCCAUUGCAAGGCAGUUGCAGGACAAGAGUGGAUUUCACAGGCAUCUUAAUUCCUGGCAGUAAUGGCUGAGGGCUGUCUUGGAGACCAGAAGUGGCAGGCAAGAACUCCCUUAACAAAAGAGAGGCAGGGGGAUUAUUUAUUCAAAUGCCCUGAUAGAAGAAGGCCUAAUCAAAGACACCACAGAAAACAAGCCACAGGCAGAUAGGGAAUAUUUGGAACAUGAGAGUGUCAAAAGGAUCCAGGCUUUUGCUAAAGGAAAGGAAAUGACUAGGGGAAAUGGCCUUUUAUAAUUGAGCGGAGCUAUGUCAGAGCUAUGCGCCAAGGGUUGGGGAUUAUUCAAAGUGCAAACACCUUUAUUAUCCUGGUCCUCCCACCCCCAUCACGAAUGAAGUAAGAAUCAUUAGAAUCAGUGCCAGAUUCUGACUGAAAAUAGAGGUCUUCAGAAGUUGGCAAAUUCAACAUGCAAGACUGGCACAAGUGAUAAUGAACUUGUUCUUGGCCACGGCAGUUGAUGACACAAUUUUGCAUAAUUAGAACACCUUUGGAAGUAGGGAGUAAAAAAGGACCCUCCAAUCUGGAAUUGACUAAUUUACAUAAACAUUAGUGUGAUUAGUGAUUUCAACUCUUAAGGUACUUCCUUGUCAUUUACAUUCUAAUUGAUGAUAGGGUAGAAUGCCAAGGGGAGCAACACUGAUGGUGUUUAGUGCCAUACAAAAUGGCCCACGAGGCUGUGGGGAAGUCUGCAAAGUAGGUGUUUCUAGGUUACCAAAGUCAUCUUCUUUUCCUGUGCUUUCCACCCUUUCCUAGAGAAAAUUAAAUUCUAAAACAGCUAAUUUAGAAGUCAAGAAAUUUCAUUAUCAGAAUAAUGCAUUAAGGCGUAUCCGCUAUCUCUUGCUGAGUAAUAAAUCACCCAAAAACAUAGUGACUUAACAACAGUCGUUUUUAACCUCUCCCAGUUUAUGUGGGUCCGGCAUUCAGAGAGGGCUCAGUGGGGAGAUUCUGGUUUGGAGUCCCCCAAGUGGUUGUCAGAAGAAAGGCUGGAGCCAGAACAGCAGAGGGGCUGAAGAAGCUGCAGUCUUGCUAGGCACCUCUGUCUUCACAGAUGGUCUCUCCAUGGGGUCUCUCUAUAAGAGCUAGUUUGAGCCUCUUCACAACAUGGCAGCCUUAGAGUAGUGAAAUGCUCCAGUGCAAGUAUUUCAGCUCCCAACACAGCAGCUGCAUCAACCUUCGUGACCUGGCCUCAGAAGUUUCUGUUGGUUACAAGUGAGUUACAAGCCCCCUUAGGUCCAAGAGAAGGAGAAUUUGAUGUGACUUCUUAAUAGAGAAUGGUGAUAUUCUUGAGGGACAAUGUGGGGUAAGAGAUAGCACUGUGGCCAUCUCUUGAAAAUACAAUAUGGGCCGGGCACGGUGGCUCAUGCCUUUAAUCCCAGCACUCUGGGAGGCCAAGAUGGG
This is a long non-coding RNA of Cercocebus atys (sooty mangabey), 5511 nucleotides long. RefSeq lists it as uncharacterized. The record is from RefSeq and is a predicted model, not a curated record. Lineage: Eukaryota; Metazoa; Chordata; Mammalia; Primates; Cercopithecidae. The transcript is spliced from 5 exons.